RNAcentral lists this ribosomal RNA (396 nucleotides) under uncultured bacterium. Its description in RNAcentral is "bacterial SSU rRNA". It matches the Rfam family "Bacterial small subunit ribosomal RNA", at positions 505 to 898 of the family's 1533-position model. The record is from RNAcentral.
GUGUCAGCAGCCGCGGUAAUACGGAGGGGGCGAGCGUUGUUCGGAUUUACUGGGCGUAAAGGGUGUGUAGGCGGCUGCGCAAGUCUGGUGUGAAAUCUUCACCGCUCAACGGGAAGCGUGCACUGGAAACUGCGCAGCUCGAGUAUGGUAGAGGCAAGCGGAAUUCCUGGUGUAGCGGUGGAAUGUGUAGAUAUCAGGAAGAACACCGGUGGCGAAGGCGGCUUGCUGGGCCAUCACUGACGCUGAGACACGAAAGCGUGGGGAGCAAACGGGAUUAGAUACCCCGGUAGUCCACGCUGUAAACGGUGCGCACUAGGUGUGAGGGGUAUCGACCCCCCUCGCGCCGCAGCCAACGCAUUAAGUGCGCCGCCUGGGGAGUACGGCCGCAAGGUUGAA